CAGUAGCCGCGGUAAUACGUAGGUGGCAAGCGUUGUCCGGAAUUAUUGGGCGUAAAGGGCUCGCAGGCGGUUUCUUAAGUCUGAUGUGAAAGCCCCCGGCUCAACCGGGGAGGGUCAUUGGAAACUGGGAAACUUGAGCGCAGAAGAGGAGAGUGGAAUUCCACGUGUAGCGGUGAAAUGCGUAGAGAUGUGGAGGAACACCAGUGGCGAAGGCGACUCUCUGGUCUGUAACUGACGCUGAGGAGCGAAAGCGUGGGGAGCGAACAGGAUUAGAUACCCGCGUAGUCCCUGUCUCUUAUAC
Molecule: ribosomal RNA, 301 nt
Filed under: uncultured bacterium
Lineage: Bacteria
Description: partial 16S ribosomal RNA
Rfam family: Bacterial small subunit ribosomal RNA
Source: RNAcentral